CGUAGAAAUCUAAACGUCACGUGGAUGACGGUACAUCGUCGACGUUACGUGUUUGUCCAAAAGUGGAGGGUGCCACGUGUUACUUGAUAUGUGACUCAGGUUUCUAAAUUCAAUUCUGAUGGAUGGAUUGAACGGACUUGUUUACAUGACCGGUUAGGCUAGGUCAGUAGGUAGAGCGCUGGAGUACACAUCCGGGUAGACUAGGUCAGUAGUAAGAGCGCUGGAGUACACAUCGGGGAAGGCCAGAUCAGAAGUUAGAGCGCUGUAGUUCAAAUCCGGAUAGGCUAGGUCAGUAGGUAGAACGCUGGAGUACACAUCCGGGUAGGCUAGGUUAGAAGGUAGAGCGCUGGAGUACACAUCCGGUUAGGCUAGAUCAGUAAGUAGAACGCUGGAGUACACAUCCGGGUAGGCCAGAUCAGUAGUUAGAGCGCUGGAUAACACAUCCGGGUAGGCUAGGUCAGUAGGUAGAACGCUGGAGUACACAUCCGGGUAGGCUAGGUCUGUAGGCAGAGCGCUGGAGUACACAUCCGGGUAGACUAGAUCAGUAAGUAGAACGCUGGAGAACACAUCCGGGUAGGCUAGGUCAGUAGAUAGAGCGCUGGAGUACACAUCCGGGUAGGCUAGGUCAGUAGAUAGAGCGCUGGAGUACACAUCCGGGUAGGCUAGGUCAGUAGAUAGAGCGCUGGAGUACACAUCCGGGUAGGCUAGGUCAGUAGGUAGAGCGCUGGAGUACACAUCCGGGUAGGCUAGGUCAGUAGGUAUAGCGCUGGAGUACACAUCCGGGUAGGCUAGGUCAGUAGUUAGAGCGCUGGAGUACACAUCCGGGUAGGCUAUGUCUGUAGGUAGAGCGCUGGAGUACACAUCCGGGUAGGCUAGGUCAGUAGAUAGACCGCUGGAGUACACAUCCGGGUAGGCUUGGUCAGUAGGUAGAGCGCUUGAGUACACAUCCGGGUAGGCUAGGUCAGUAGGUAGAGCGCUGGAGUACACAUCCGGGUAGGCUAGGUCAGUAGAUAGAGCGCUGGAGUACACAUCCGGGUAGGCUUGGUCAGUAGUUAGAGCGCUGGAGUUCACAUCCUGGUAGGCUAGAUCAGUAGGUUGAACGCUGGAGUACACAUCCGGGUAGGCUAGGUCAAUCGGUAGAGCGCUGGAGUACACAUCCGGGUAGGCUAGAUCAGUGGAUAGAAUGCUGGAGUACACAUUGGAGGAUCUCGGGUUCAAGUUCCGGCUUAGCCACAUAAGUUGUGAUGGGAUUGGUCGUGCACUAAGUUCUUCGACCAUUCUUCCCCUACCUCUCGUUAAAAUAAAGCAGUUGUAAGUUACUGAUAAAAGCUCUUUUAACUAGCAUAGCGUUAAAAAUGCGGCAUUGAUUUCAAACGUUGAGUUGUGCCUAAGAUCUUUCGUACAAAUGGUCACGGCUUUUGUCCCCGGGGUAGGCAAACUUUUGUAUUUAAAUGGUUUUCCUUGUGAUUAUAAUUAUUUAAAACUAUCUUACACAUAAAAUGUUAAAAUGUUAUUAGAUAAUACUUUAAACACAUGAAAAUCUUCAAACAAGAUUCGUUAAGCGUCAGAUUUUUUACAUUGAGUAGCGGGAAAUAUUAUUGUACAACAUGCAGUUUCUUUUACGUUUCGAAAUAUUCAUGAAAUGUUGCAUUAAUUUUAAUUGUUCAAUUACCUUAACAUGUAUAACUGUUGUGUUUUGUAUGUCUUC
Molecule: long non-coding RNA, 1708 nt
Organism: Dreissena polymorpha
Lineage: Eukaryota; Metazoa; Mollusca; Bivalvia; Myida; Dreissenidae
Exons: 3
Source: RefSeq, a predicted model, not a curated record